CCUUAACUGUGUUACCUGUUAUGGCAGCUAACAGACACUCGGCGCAUGGCUCCUUUGUUUACGUUAGGGAUCAGCUGUUAGCGCUGCGCCCUGCAGCUGCGCUACCGGCAGACAGACCCUACGUCCCCAGUGAGGGAAGAGACGGGGGUGAUGUCUCCCGAUAA
Long non-coding RNA from Oreochromis niloticus (Nile tilapia), 164 nucleotides. RefSeq lists it as uncharacterized. Lineage: Eukaryota; Metazoa; Chordata; Actinopteri; Cichliformes; Cichlidae. The transcript is spliced from 2 exons. The record is from RefSeq and is a predicted model, not a curated record.